CACAGUUAAAAAAAAAAAAGAUCUUAGUUAUCCUUUACUUAUCUUGCCAGAUAAUCUUCAGAAUCUUUUUUAGUCAAUUUAAAUGGAAGGGAUUCAGUUUCCUAGUAUGGCACUGGUAUACUGUUUCUCAGCCCUUUCUGAAGUCCCACUGACUUUUAGAUAUAUGACCAUCUUUCAGGUGAAGGACCAGCGUUGGAGGAUUCUGGCAAGAAAUUUGCUGGCAAUGACUAAGGUAAGAGGGAGCCACUGAAGCUUCUUGAGCAGGGAUAUGACAGAAAUACAAAAGACUAGAGGAACAUUCUCCACUUAUCAGCUUACCAGGGGAUAAAGAAAUGCUUCUCAGAAGAAUGAUCCAAGGAGAAAACGAACAUGAUCCAAUCAUGGUCCAAGGAGAAAACAAAGAAGAAAAGAUUCUAAGAAGACAAAAGGGGAAACCAGAACAAGGGAAUGAAAGGGAGUGACAUGUGGAUGGAAGAGAAAGAUCUUAGUAGUUGGAGCUAUAUUAUCAAUACUCAGAUCUUCCUUCAGAUUAUGAACAUGGAUCUUCUGAGGAUGAAGCAACUUCCAGGAUCUACUGAAACAGUAAGUAGGAAUUUAUAGAUGCCACCCAGAUGUGACAUCCCUGAAUUAAAGAAAAGAAGUGUCAUGGUAGACUGUAUCUUCCUGUUGAGAGACAAGGGAUGUCAUGUGUCAGCGUGAUAUCAACAAGCAUGAAGUAUUCUUUUUACCUGGGAUGUGCAUAUGAGCUAUGACUGAACUCCUCAAGGCUUAGCAAACCUGAAGACAGCUACCCAUUUCUUGUGAUUCCUAUCACAAGACAAAAAUAACAUUGCUAGAAGGGACCUGGAGAGAAUCUCUAUGAUUAUAAAGACCUUGGGAGAAAAAUGAAGAUCCUAAAGGCUAGCAUAGAGUUUUCAUCACUAAGAAUAAAUAGGAUAAGAGGAGUCA
RNAcentral lists this long non-coding RNA (948 nucleotides) under Monodelphis domestica (gray short-tailed opossum). Its description in RNAcentral is "lncRNA (ENSMODG00000040851.1)". Lineage: Eukaryota; Metazoa; Chordata; Mammalia; Didelphimorphia; Didelphidae. The record is from RNAcentral.